RNAcentral lists this ribosomal RNA (1397 nucleotides) under Lytocarpia canepa. RNAcentral describes it as "eukaryotic LSU rRNA". It matches the Rfam family "Eukaryotic large subunit ribosomal RNA", at positions 80 to 1289 of the family's 3401-position model. The record is from RNAcentral. Lineage: Eukaryota; Metazoa; Cnidaria; Hydrozoa; Leptothecata; Aglaopheniidae.
CUAGUAACGGCGAGUGAAGAGGGAACAGCUCAAGCUUAAAAUCUGUGCUGUCUUGGCAGCACCGAAUUGUAGUCUCGAGAAGUGUUUUCACGGCGGAGAGGAGGUGCUCAAGUUGCUUGGAAAAGCACACCGUAGAGGGUGACAGUCCCGUGUACGGCACCUACUCACCGCUCACGAUACACUCUCCACGAGUCGGGUUGCUCGGGAAUGCAGCCCAAAAUGGGAGGUAGACUCCUUCUAAAGCUAAAUAUGGACACGAGACCGAUAGCGAACAAGUACCGUGAGGGAAAGAUGAAAAGAACUUUGAAAAGAAAGUUAAAAGUACGUGAAACCGUUAGUAGGGAAGCGCAUGGAAUUAGCAGUACCUCGGAGAGAUUCAGGCCGCGUGAGUCGGGGUAGCUCUGUCGCGCGGAUCCGAACGGACCGUCGGCGGGGUUCUCUCCGUCUCUCCGGUUGCACUUCUCAUCGGUGGUGCGUCAGCAAAUGUUGGGACUGGCUGAAAUGCUCGUCUCGAAGGUAGCCGGCCCCGGCUGGUGUUAUAGCGAGGCGAUGUCCGAGUCAGGCCCGACAUAGGAGUCGCGGUACGUGCCCUCUUUUGGGCUGGCCUCUUCUGUGUCACCGGGCUGUCGACCAUAGCAGACUACUCGUAGUGUGUUUGAACUGCUGUCCCUUGAGACUGGAGUAGGGUACAAACGUGCCAAGGUUGUUGGCGGUCAAAUGAUUUCAUACGACCCGUCUUGAAACACGGACCAAGGAGUCUAACAUGUGUGCGAGUCUUAGAGUGACUGAAACUCCACGGCGCAAUGAAAGUGAACGGCCCAGCCGUUGGUGAGACCCGUUCCUCCUCGUGUGGACCGGUGCAUCAUCGACCGACCUAAUCUACUCUUAGACAGGUUUGAGUAAGAGCACAUAUGCUGGGACCCGAAAGAUGGUGAACUAUGCUUGAGUAGGGUGAAGCCAGAGGAAACUCUGGUGGAGGCUCGUAGCGAUUCUGACGUGCAAAUCGAUCGUCAAACUUGUGCAUAGGGGCGAAAGACUAAUCGAACCAUCUAGUAGCUGGUUCCCUCCGAAGUUUCCCUUAGGAUAGCUGGAGCUCGGAGAAACAGUUUCAUCCGGUAAAGCGAAUGAUUAGAGGCAUUAGAGAUGAAACAUCUUUAACCUAUUCUCAAACUUUCAAUGGGUGAGAAGUCUGACCUGCCUAACAGAGGCCAGACAAUGAAUGAAUGAGUUCCAAGUGGGCCAUUUUUGGUAAGCAGAACUGGCGAUGCGGGAUGAACCGAACGUAGAGUUAAGGCGCCUAAAUCGACGCUCAUCAGACCCCACAAAAGGUGUUGGUUGAUCCAGACAGCAGGACGGUGGCCAUGGAAGUCGGAAUCCGCUAAGAGUGUGGUAACAAC